GACGAACGCUGGCGGCGUGCUUAACACAUGCAAGUCGAACGGAAAGGCCCUGCUUUUGUGGGGUGCUCGAGUGGCGAACGGGUGAGUAACACGUGAGUAACCUGUCCUUGACUUUGGGAUAACUUCAGGAAACUGGGGCUAAUACCGGAUAGGAGCUCUUGCUGCAUGGUGGGGGUUGGAAAGUUUCGGUGGUUGGGGAUGGACUAGCGGCUUAUCAGCUUGUUGGGGGGGUAGUGGCUUACCAAGGCUUUGACGGGUAGCCGGCCUGAGCGGGUGACCGGCCACAUUAGGACUGAGAUACGACCCAGACUCGUACGGGAGGCAACGGUGGGGAGUAUUGCACAGUGGGCGGAAGCCUGAUGCAGCAACGCCGCGUGCGGGAUGACGGCCUUCGGGUUGUAUACCACUUUCGCCUGAGACGAAGCGUGAGUGACGGUAAUGGGUAAAGAAGCACCGGCUAACUACGUG
Molecule: ribosomal RNA, 468 nt
Filed under: uncultured bacterium
Lineage: Bacteria
Description: partial 16S ribosomal RNA
Rfam family: Bacterial small subunit ribosomal RNA
Source: RNAcentral